Molecule: ribosomal RNA, 453 nt
Filed under: uncultured bacterium
Lineage: Bacteria
Description: bacterial SSU rRNA
Rfam family: Bacterial small subunit ribosomal RNA
Source: RNAcentral
AGCGAACGCUGGCGGCAGGCUUAACACAUGCAAGUCGAGCGGGCGUAGCAAUACGUCAGCGGCAGACGGGUGAGUAACGCGUGGGAACGUACCUUUUGGUUCGGAACAACACAGGGAAACUUGUGCUAAUACCGGAUAAGCCCUUACGGGGAAAGAUUUAUCGCCGAAAGAUCGGCCCGCGUCUGAUUAGCUUGUUGGUGAGGUAACGGCUCACCAAGGCGACGAUCAGUAGCUGGUCUGAGAGGAUGAUCAGCCACAUUGGGACUGAGACACGGCCCAAACUCCUACGGGAGGCAGCAGUGGGGAAUAUUGGACAAUGGGGGGAAACCCUGAUCCAGCCAUGCCGCGUGAGUGAUGAAGGCCCUAGGGUUGUAAAGCUCUUUUGUGCGGGAAGAUAAUGACGGUACCGCAAGAAUAAGCCCCGGCUAACUUCGUGCCAGCAGCCGCGGUAAU